GGGGCCGACCGGUUUUGACAGGAUGCGUAGUGGCGCGCUUGCAUGCGGGCUCAUGGGAUGAGAGCCCUGAAAGAUAGUUCCAAAUUCUAAUUGGCGAAGAUUAUUCUUACGCUAUGGCUGCUUAAUUCGGCAUUUAUGCUGAAUUAGCUUAGGGUUGACCGCCAAGGGUGGUCCCCGGCCAUCAUCGUACCGUAUCCAUGUGCUACGGAGACGGAUUUGCGGUGUAGCAAGGUAGCGCUGGCCUGUGUGGGGUUGUGACGCACAGGUGAGACUAAUCGCAACUAAGGUAUAGUUUCGGCUGCUUUUGGCCAGGCCAUACCCGACAAUUAAUCAAAAGAUAAGCAUGUAGAGGGUUCGUUAGCUGCCUUCUCUGGACGAGGGUUCGAAUCCCUCCGGCUCCACAA
RNAcentral lists this transfer-messenger RNA (404 nucleotides) under Cyclobacteriaceae bacterium. It matches the Rfam family "transfer-messenger RNA". From Rfam's summary of the family: Bacterial tmRNA, also known as 10Sa RNA or SsrA, is named for its dual tRNA and mRNA-like properties. Its role is to liberate the mRNA from a stalled ribosome. Lineage: Bacteria; Pseudomonadati; Bacteroidota; Cytophagia; Cytophagales; Cyclobacteriaceae. The record is from RNAcentral.